AACGAACGCUGGCGGCAGGCUUAACACAUGCAAGUCGAAUGCCCCGCAAGGGGAGUGGCAGACGGGUGAGUAACGCGCGGGAAUCUACCCAGAUCUUCGGAACAACUGAGGGAAACUUCAGCUAAUACCGGAUACGCCCUACGGGGGAAAGAUUUAUCGGUUCUGGAUGAGCCCGCGUUGGAUUAGCUAGUUGGUGAGGUAACGGCUCACCAAGGCGACGAUCCAUAGCUUGUCUGAGAGGAUGAUCCGUCACACUGGGACUGAGACACGGCCCGGACUCCUGCGGGAGGCAGCGGUGGGGAACAUUGGACAAUGGGCUAAAGCCUGAUCCAGCCAUCACACGUGAGUGAUGAAGACCUUAGGGUUGUAAAGCUCUUUCAGUGGGGAAGAUAAUGACGGUACCCACAGAAGAAGCCCCGGCUAACUUCGUGCCAGCCGCCGCAGUAA
This 447-nucleotide ribosomal RNA is filed under the name uncultured bacterium. RNAcentral's name for it is "partial 16S ribosomal RNA". It matches the Rfam family "Bacterial small subunit ribosomal RNA", at positions 29 to 523 of the family's 1533-position model. The record is from RNAcentral.